AGAGUUUGAUCAUGGCUCAGAUUGAACGCUGGCGGCAGGCCUAACACAUGCAAGUCGAACGGUAGCACAGAGAGCUUGCUCUCGGGUGACGAGUGGCGGACGGGUGAGUAAUGUCUGGGAAACUGCCUGAUGGAGGGGGAUAACUACUGGAAACGGUAGCUAAUACCGCAUAACGUCGCAAGACCAAAGAGGGGGACCUUCGGGCCUCUUGCCAUCAGAUGUGCCCAGAUGGGAUUAGCUAGUAGGUGGGGUAACGGCUCACCUAGGCGACGAUCCCUAGCUGGUCUGAGAGGAUGACCAGCCACACUGGAACUGAGACACGGUCCAGACUCCUACGGGAGGCAGCAGUGGGGAAUAUUGCACAAUGGGCGCAAGCCUGAUGCAGCCAUGCCGCGUGUAUGAAGAAGGCCUUCGGGUUGUAAAGUACUUUCAGCGGGGAGGAAGGUGUUGUGGUUAAUAACCACAGCAAUUGACGUUACCCGCAGAAGAAGCACCGGCUAACUCCGUGCCAGCAGCCGCGGUAAUACGGAGGGUGCAAGCGUUAAUCGGAAUUACUGGGCGUAAAGCGCACGCAGGCGGUCUGUCAAGUCGGAUGUGAAAUCCCCGGGCUCAACCUGGGAACUGCAUUCGAAACUGGCAGGCUAGAGUCUUGUAGAGGGGGGUAGAAUUCCAGGUGUAGCGGUGAAAUGCGUAGAGAUCUGGAGGAAUACCGGUGGCGAAGGCGGCCCCCUGGACAAAGACUGACGCUCAGGUGCGAAAGCGUGGGGAGCAAACAGGAUUAGAUACCCUGGUAGUCCACGCCGUAAACGAUGUCGACUUGGAGGUUGUGCCCUUGAGGCGUGGCUUCCGGAGCUAACGCGUUAAGUCGACCGCCUGGGGAGUACGGCCGCAAGGUUAAAACUCAAAUGAAUUGACGGGGGCCCGCACAAGCGGUGGAGCAUGUGGUUUAAUUCGAUGCAACGCGAAGAACCUUACCUACUCUUGACAUCCAGAGAACUUUCCAGAGAUGGAUUGGUGCCUUCGGGAACUCUGAGACAGGUGCUGCAUGGCUGUCGUCAGCUCGUGUUGUGAAAUGUUGGGUUAAGUCCCGCAACGAGCGCAACCCUUAUCCUUUGUUGCCAGCGGUCCGGCCGGGAACUCAAAGGAGACUGCCAGUGAUAAACUGGAGGAAGGUGGGGAUGACGUCAAGUCAUCAUGGCCCUUACGAGUAGGGCUACACACGUGCUACAAUGGCGCAUACAAAGAGAAGCGAACUCGCGAGAGCAAGCGGACCUCAUAAAGUGCGUCGUAGUCCGGAUUGGAGUCUGCAACUCGACUCCAUGAAGUCGGAAUCGCUAGUAAUCGUAGAUCAGAAUGCUACGGUGAAUACGUUCCCGGGCCUUGUACACACCGCCCGUCACACCAUGGGAGUGGGUUGCAAAAGAAGUAGGUAGCUUAACCUUCGGGAGGGCGCUUACCACUUUGUGAUUCAUGACUGGGGUGAAGUCGUAACAAGGUAACCGUAGGGGAACCUGCGGUUGGAUCACC
RNAcentral lists this ribosomal RNA (1527 nucleotides) under Enterobacter cloacae. Its description in RNAcentral is "bacterial SSU rRNA". It matches the Rfam family "Bacterial small subunit ribosomal RNA". The record is from RNAcentral. Lineage: Bacteria; Pseudomonadati; Pseudomonadota; Gammaproteobacteria; Enterobacterales; Enterobacteriaceae.